This 1231-nucleotide long non-coding RNA is filed under the name Macaca mulatta (Rhesus monkey). RNAcentral's name for it is "lncRNA (ENSMMUG00000044558.2)". The record is from RNAcentral. Lineage: Eukaryota; Metazoa; Chordata; Mammalia; Primates; Cercopithecidae.
CAUGUUCUCACUUUUAAGUGGGAACCAAAUAAGGAGAACUCAUGAACACAAAGAAAGGAACAACAAACAUUGGGUCCUACUUGAGGGUGGAGGGUGAGAGAAGGGAGAGGAGCAGAAAAAAUAACUAUUGGGUACUAGGCUUAGUAGCUGGGUGACAAAAUAAUCUGUACGACAAACACCCAUGACACAAGUUUACCUAUGUAACAAACCUGCACAUGUACCUCUGAGCCUAAAAUAAAAGUUAAAAAUAAAUAAAUAAAUAAAUAGAAACACCAAAAAUUUUUUAAAAAAGAAAAUCAAAUGGCCCAUUAAAUCAUGGGGUUGCAGCCUAGGGAACUGAUUAACAUUGGCUGAAUACAUGUUGUGUGCUAGGAUUAUUAGGCAUGUUAAUAAAAUCAUUGAAACAAAAAACAAAACAAAAAAGAUGUACAGAAGAAAAUUAGGCCCUGCAUUCUAAGAUUUCAUGCUGGUAGGGAUGAUACUGGCUUUUUUUUUUUUUUUUUUUUUUUUGCCAGUUCUACAUACACAGCUAUCAGAUUAUUAUAAAUUUAAGAGUCAAUCCUGGAGUGACAUGAGUAGCAGAAUGCCAAGUCCAUGAGUCACUUGAUAACUACUGGACAUGCACAUGAGAAUAUGAUGAGGAUGGUGCCUUAGAAUGGGGAUUCUCAAUCUGAGGUAGGAAGACGUGAUGAGCCACAAAAUUCUUAUUACAAAUUAAAAGGAAGAUCAAGAAUCGCUGAUAGAAUUGAGAAGAUCUGAAGGGGCAUAUGGUGUAAGUUUAGCCCAACUAAAGUGGAAAUGUUAACAGAAGUACCUGGCAGGCAUCAAACAGAGGCAGCUUAUCAUGAAUGUUGCUCAGCUUACUUUCUCAGAGAAUCCAGAAUUCACUACAAUAGUUGUUACUAAUGGCUGGUCAACCUGCUCCAGGUUGUCUUUUUGAUGGCUUCCAGCCAAUCAGCUUACUCAAAGAAAAGUAAAACAAAAUACACUGCUCUCAGAUAGUCUAUGUGUGUUUUUUCCUACCUCGUCUCUUUCUUUUAUAAAUUCUGUUUUUGUUAUAUUUGUUGACAACUGUUUAGUGACUGACUCUCUUUUCUGUGAGUAACCUUUUCUGUGAAUACUCACUAAAGGUUUCUUGAGUUAUUUGUCAACAGUCCAAAUCCAUGAUAACUUACACUUUUGUAAUAAUAGGUUGGUGAAAAGUAACUGUGGUUUUUGAAUUAAAAGUAAU